RNAcentral lists this ribosomal RNA (396 nucleotides) under uncultured bacterium. Its description in RNAcentral is "bacterial SSU rRNA". It matches the Rfam family "Bacterial small subunit ribosomal RNA", at positions 29 to 407 of the family's 1533-position model. The record is from RNAcentral.
AAUGAACGCUGGCGGCGUGGUUAAGACAUGCAAGUCGAACGGUUUUUCAGGUGUAGCAAUACAUUUGAAGAGCAGUGGCGAACGGGUGCGUAACACGUGAACAAUCUACCUUUUAGUGUGGAAUAGCUCGGCGAAAGCCGGAUUAAUACCGCAUGUGGUUGCCUCUCGCAUGAGAGACGUACUAAAGUCAGGGACCGCAAGGCCUGACGCUAUUAGAGGAGUUCGCGGCCUAUCAGCUAGUUGGCGAGGUAACGGCUCCCCAAGGCGAUGACGGGUAGCUGGUCUGAGAGGACGACCAGUCACACUGGAACUGAGACACGGUCCAGACACCUACGGGUGCAGCAGUCGAGAAUUUUUCNCAAUGGGGAAACCCUGAAGAGCGACGCCGCGUGGAGG